AUGAAUUUUAAACAACUUGAUCAUGAGCAUGCUGCCCAAUCUUGGGAAAUAAUGAAAUUGAUGAUUCGCAAUUGCCCUACUCAUGGUUUGAAUUUAUGGAUGAUCAUACAAAAAAAUUAUGCCGGUUUGAACUUUGCUUCUAGGAAUCUCUUAGAUUCGUCCGCGGGGGGCACGUUUAUGGAAAUCACGUUAGGAGAUGCUACAAAACUUCUUGAUAAUAUUAUGGCAAAUUAUUCUCAAUGGCACACCGAACGAUCUACUAGUAAAAAAGUGCAUCCUAUAGAAGAAAUCAAUGUUUUGAGUGGAAAGAAGGAUGAACUAAUGAAAAUGUUUGCUACUAAAAAUACUCCUCUUGAUCCCAAUGAUAUGCCUUUGUCUACUUUGAUUGAGAAUAAUAAUGAAUCUAUGGAUGUGAAUUUUGUUGGUAGGAAUAGUUGGAAACAAUGCUUAUAG
Molecule: ribosomal RNA, 453 nt
Filed under: Triticum aestivum (bread wheat)
Lineage: Eukaryota; Viridiplantae; Streptophyta; Magnoliopsida; Poales; Poaceae
Description: partial small subunit ribosomal RNA
Source: RNAcentral